RNAcentral lists this long non-coding RNA (222 nucleotides) under Gallus gallus (chicken). Lineage: Eukaryota; Metazoa; Chordata; Aves; Galliformes; Phasianidae. The record is from RNAcentral.
GCCAGCACCAGAUCUGCCUCAUCAGAGUCUUUCCAUUUCAUGAGGAACAUAAGCUCUCCGCUGCUAUCCGUAGCCCCAAUUAUCCUCUCAGGAUCAAGACCCCUCGCAAACCCUCUCGGUUUAUCAACUUCACUGCCGCUCGGCCGCGCCGCUCCCCCGUCUCCUCCCGGCUCUCGCCCUGCGCGCUCUGAGCGGCGGCGGCAGCGGCGGCAUCCGAGGGGC